CAGGGGGGGGCCUAUACUGCAGUCGAGCGACUGAUUAGAAGCUUGCUUCUAUGACGUUAGCGGCGGACGGGUGAGUAACACGUGGGCAACCUGCCUGUAAGACUGGGAUAACUUCGGGAAACCGAAGCUAAUACCGGAUAGGAUCUUCUCCUUCAUGGGAGAUGAUUGAAAGAUGGUUUCGGCUAUCACUUACAGAUGGGCCCGCGGUGCAUUAGCUAGUUGGUGAGGUAACGGCUCACCAAGGCAACGAUGCAUAGCCGACCUGAGAGGGUGAUCGGCCACACUGGGACUGAGACACGGCCCAGACUCCUACGGGAGGCAGCAGUAGGGAAUCUUCCGCAAUGGACGAAAGUCUGACGGAGCAACGCCGCGUGAGUGAUGAAGGCUUUCGGGUCGUAAAACUCUGUUGUUAGGGAAGAACAAGUACGAGAGUAACUGCUCGUACCUUGACGGUACCUAACCAGAAAGCCACGGCUAACUACGUGCCAGCAGCCGCGGUAAUACGUAGGUGGCAAGCGUUAUCCGGAAUUAUUGGGCGUAAAGCGCGCGCAGGCGGUUUCUUAAGUCUGAUGUGAAAGCCCACGGCUCAACCGUGGAGGGUCAUUGGAAACUGGGGAACUUGAGUGCAGAAGAGAAAAGCGGAAUUCCACGUGUAGCGGUGAAAUGCGUAGAGAUGUGGAGGAACACCAGUGGCGAAGGCGGCUUUUUGGUCUGUAACUGACGCUGAGGCGCGAAAGCGUGGGGAGCAAACAGGAUUAGAUACCCUGGUAGUCCACGCCGUAAACGAUGAGUGCUAAGUGUUAGAGGGUUUCCGCCCUUUAGUGCUGCAGCUAACGCAUUAAGCACUCCGCCUGGGGGAGUACGGGCGCAAGAAUUGAAACUCAAAGGGAAUUGACGGGGGGCCCCGNACAAGCGGGGGGAGCUUGGGGGUUUAAAUUUCAAAGCAACCUGGAAAGAACCUUCACCCGGGUCUUGGAAAUUCCUUUUGAAAAACCUUUAAAAAAAUAAAACCGGUUCCCCUUUUUGGGGGGAAAAAAGGGAUACGGGGGUGUUCCAUGGGUUUUUCCUUCCAGGUCCCUGGGCCCGAUGGAUUAGUUUAGGGUUUNNAAUUCCCUCGACAUACAUGACUGAACACCUCUUUGGUACUUAUUAAUUUGCUCACGGUAUUUUUUUUUUUGGGGUUAUCUCA
RNAcentral lists this ribosomal RNA (1189 nucleotides) under Bacillus sp. SKNB1. RNAcentral describes it as "bacterial SSU rRNA". It matches the Rfam family "Bacterial small subunit ribosomal RNA", at positions 37 to 1165 of the family's 1533-position model. Lineage: Bacteria; Bacillati; Bacillota; Bacilli; Caryophanales; Bacillaceae. The record is from RNAcentral.